Molecule: ribosomal RNA, 327 nt
Filed under: uncultured eukaryote
Lineage: Eukaryota
Description: partial 18S ribosomal RNA
Rfam family: Eukaryotic small subunit ribosomal RNA
Source: RNAcentral
UCCUUAGAUGUUCUGGGCCGCACGCGCGCUACACUGACGAAUGCAACGAGCUUAUAACCUUGGCCGAAAGGUCUGGGUAAUCUCCAAAUUUCGUCGUGAUGGGGAUAGAUUAUUGCAAUUAUUAAUCUUCAACGAGGAAUGCCUAGUAAGCGCAAGUCAUCAGCUUGCGUUGAUUACGUCCCUGCCCUUUGUACACACCGCCCGUCGCUCCUACCGAUUGAAUGGUCCGGUGAAGCGUUCGGACCGUGGCCUUUGGACGGUUCGCCGUCUGUUGGCUGCGGGAAGUUCGUUAAACCUUAUCAUUUAGAGGAAGGAGAANUCGUAACA